Molecule: long non-coding RNA, 2753 nt
Filed under: Canis lupus familiaris (dog)
Lineage: Eukaryota; Metazoa; Chordata; Mammalia; Carnivora; Canidae
Description: lncRNA (ENSCAFG00845006142.1)
Source: RNAcentral
UCAUUUGAGAGAGGGAAAGAAAGCAUGAGAGGGGAAAAGGUCAGAGGGAGAAGCAGACUCCCCGCUGAGGAGAGAGCUUGACGUGGGGGCUCAAUCCUGGGACUCUGGGAUUAUGAUUUUAGCCAAAGACAGACACUUAACCCACUGAGCCACUCAGGUGCCCUUCUUUAUAGAAUUUUUUGAAAAAUUGAAAUACAAAAAGAAAAAUAUAUUCAUAGUUCCAUAAAACAGAAAUCAACACUGCUAACGUGGGUGUAUUUACCUCCAAUUUUCCCCCACAUACAUUUGCAUAUAUGUUCGAAUGCCUAAACAUCUAGUCACAUAGCAUAUUAUUAAUCCUUUCAAAUUUGUUUUAAUCACAUGAAUAACAGGUUAUGUUUUCAUACAAAACACAAUAAAAACAAAAUCGCUCUUGACCAAAAGCAUGAUCACUUCGCUAUAUUCAAGUCUGUUUAUAUUUUAGAAUGCAUCCUGUUGCUAAAUCUGUUUAUACAAGGUAUGGAAAUAAAUAUUCUUCAUUUUAAUAAUUCAAAGUUACGCUCAAAUUCUGUCUCAUUUGUAAAUGUAGAACACCCAGUCAACUAGUGAUACAUCAUCCAUUUUGUUGGAGUUACAAGUGAGAUGCCCCAGGCUAUUUGUCAGAUUUGAAGUUUGUUAUUACCCAGAAAGCAGGCAACCCUGGUCACUUGCCACUCUACUAUCCUUAUUUAGAGCAACUCUACACACCGGAGAAAAGUAAUUGAUUGGGACAAUUAUCUAGCCAGCCUUCACACCUGCGCCCUCAUAGCAGUCAACCAACCUACUGAACAACAAAUAAAGAACAAACACACUUUUCUCCUGAAAAUAAAAACCAUUGUUUCUUAAGUAUCUUAAUAAUGGUAACAAAACCAAUUCUACCUGAAUGAGAUGGACAAUUUCACACAAAGGAAGGUAUAAAGAAUUGCUUUAGCCUCAAGUACCUGGUUACUUAAAACAAAGCACUUAUUUUUGGUUUGUGUGUUCUUUUCUUCUUUUCUGGUGUAAAGUGAGGCAAAAUAGCCUUAUUUUGCCAUUUAACUUUCAUUAUCUUUACCAUCAGGAAUAGAAUAUCUGACUCUAUUUCUUGAGUCAAUGUGAAAACUGUCCUCCUUUUUAACUCAUCACACAAACACCACCAAGACAAGCCCCAUGAUCCAUGUUUCUCUUUGAUCCAUGAAUUAUUCUUUUUUAAUUUUUAAAAUAUUUUUAAAAGACUUUAUUUAUUCAUUCAUGAGAGACACAGAAAAAGAGGCAGAGACAUAGGCAGAGGGAGAAGUGGGCUCCUCGCAGGGAGCCCAAUGUGGGACUCAUCCCAGAACCUGAGCCAAAGACAGAUGCUCGACCACUGAGCCACCCAGGCAUCCCUAUUUUUUUUUUUUUUGAAGAGCACCUCCCCAAGUUAUGUUAUUGUUAUUAAGAAAUGCAUUGAAGGAAAGUUUCAGAACUUAAUUUCCUCAGACCUAUGCAGUCUUUGCUAAGUUUUAUUUUAGAGGUAGAAGUAUAACGCUAAUUAAAAAUUUAGUAUUCAAAUCACAUUAAGAGGAAUGUUUGUGUGUAAAGUUUUAUAUGGCAUCUUCCUGCAUGAUACAAAGGAAUCAUAUUUUCAUUAGGUUUCUCUCUUAAGUCAGUGCAGUUAUUGCCCCCACACCCCAUCCUAAAUGAGGCUGACCCAUUUCAGUGUUGACAUAAAAAAAGAACCAUUAGAAAAUAGGAAAUCUGGGAAACUCAGAAUUAGUAUUUAUUAGUCUGCAUUAAUUUGUCUGAAUAGCAACUUGAUGGCGCUGCUCAAUGGCUCCUUGUCAUACAAGGGAGAGAAGGAAGAAUGGUUCCUGGUCACAGAACUGGUAAUGAUUCUAUUUCUUACUUAUUGUUCAUUCUCUCCGUGUUAUUCAUUUAUUUAAAGUUAUUAAACACUUAUCAUGUACCACAUAUUGAUUUAAACACUGGAGAUUCAGAGGCAAACAGAGCAAAAUUUCCAGCUUUGGAAUUUGUGCAUCUGAAGCUUAAGGAAAAGAAUGGAAGUGCUUAUCAUAGGGUUGGCACAUGCUUAAAGAUACAAAAGUUUUUACAAAGUCACCAGUGAAAAUAGAAAAGCCCAACAAGAUCAAGAUUAAUGAUCUAACCAAAUAACUAGUAAAAAAAAAAAUGGCAUGCUUCUGGAGUUAUACUACCCAGAUUCAAAUGUGAGACCCUUUUUAUACAGGUGUUGUGUCUUGAGACAAUUUAUUAAAACAUGUAGCACCUUAAUUUGCUUAUUGGUACAAUGACAAAAAUGACAGUACCUAGAAUUGUGGUGGGGAUUAAAUGAAGUAAUCUAUGUAAAACUCAUUGCAUCUGGCAUGUGGUAAGAUCAAUACAUGUAAACUAUUUUUUAUAUCUCAUAUUAUCUCAUUCAAUAAUAAUUCAUACCAUUUUUAAUAAUAGCAUUCUCUAAUGGACAGAAGCAAGUCUACAAACAUAAUAACUAAAGUAAUGAAUAAUAUCAUAAAAUAACAUAAUAAAAAUUAAAGAGAUUUUUUAGACCAUUUUCAGGAAAUAUAUGAAACAGUAUAUUAUGUUGCUUUGAUGAUAUAAGAUGGAGAGUUAGGGGAUCGUUCUACAUAUAUAAGAUGUUAAUUUUUUAAUGUGGUAAAAUAUACAUAACAUUUACCAUUUCAACCAUUUUUAGGGGUAUGGUUCAGCAGAAGUAAUAAUGUUCACAUUGUUGUGCAUCCAUGACCACUACUCACCUCCAG